Molecule: unclassified non-coding RNA, 224 nt
Filed under: Hevea brasiliensis (rubber tree)
Lineage: Eukaryota; Viridiplantae; Streptophyta; Magnoliopsida; Malpighiales; Euphorbiaceae
Source: RNAcentral
GCCACAUCUCUGCUUAAAGCUCUUCAUAUAAAUACUGUUUUGUAAGUGCUUAGUUUUUAGGAUCCCUUCUCCUUGUAUGUAUGUUGUCAAAAUGUAUCACUUUUGUUUUCUAUUUUCAUUAAAUUUUGGCCUCCUCUCAAAUGUCCUUUCCUCCCCGGGCGAUUACGGCCAUUUGGCUUGUUCAAAAUCCUGAUUCCAGAAUGAUAGGCAAUGUAUGAGUGUUU